GAUGAACGCUGGCGGCGUGCCUAAUACAUGCAAGUCGAGCGAACAGAUAAGGAGCUUGCUCCUUUGACGUUAGCGGCGGACGGGUGAGUAACACGUGGAUAACCUACCUAUAAGACUGGGAUAACUUCGGGAAACCGGAGCUAAUACCGGAUAACAUAUUGAACCGCAUGGUUCAAUAGUGAAAGGCGGCUUUGCUGUCACUUAUAGAUGGAUCCGCGCCGUAUUAGCUAGUUGGUAAGGUAACGGCUUACCAAGGCAACGAUACGUAGCCGACCUGAGAGGGUGAUCGGCCACGCUGGAACUGAGCCGCGGUCCAGACUCCUACGGGAGGCAGCAGUAGGGAAUCUUCCGCAAUGGGCGAAAGCCUGACGGAGCAACGCCGCGUGAGUGAUGAAGGUCUUCGGAUCGUAAAACUCUGUUAUCAGGGAAGAACAAAUGUGUAAGUAACUGUGCACAUCUUGACGGUACCUGAUCAGAAAGCCACGGCUAACUACGU
This 496-nucleotide ribosomal RNA is filed under the name uncultured bacterium. Its description in RNAcentral is "partial 16S ribosomal RNA". It matches the Rfam family "Bacterial small subunit ribosomal RNA", at positions 28 to 506 of the family's 1533-position model. The record is from RNAcentral.